AAAGAAAUAUAUAAAAAAGAAGCUUCUAACUUCUUAGAGAGCAAAACUAUGUUCAUAUU
RNAcentral lists this transfer RNA (59 nucleotides) under Micronychus sp. UPOL MT0067. RNAcentral describes it as "partial tRNA-Ser". Lineage: Eukaryota; Metazoa; Arthropoda; Insecta; Coleoptera; Lycidae. The record is from RNAcentral.